UAUCUCAGUAGGUUAGAGCAUGGUGCUGAUAACACCAAUGUCGUGGGUUCGAUCCCCGU
This 59-nucleotide transfer RNA is filed under the name Apaloderma vittatum (bar-tailed trogon). It matches the Rfam family "tRNA", at positions 8 to 63 of the family's 71-position model. Rfam says of the family: Transfer RNA (tRNA) molecules are approximately 80 nucleotides in length. Their secondary structure includes four short double-helical elements and three loops (D, anti-codon, and T loops). Further hydrogen bonds mediate the characteristic L-shaped molecular structure. tRNAs have two regions of fundamental functional importance: the anti-codon, which is responsible for specific mRNA codon recognition, and the 3' end, to which the tRNAs corresponding amino acid is attached (by aminoacyl-tRNA synthetases). tRNAs cope with the degeneracy of the genetic code in two manners: having more than one tRNA (with a specific anti-codon) for a particular amino acid; and 'wobble' base-pairing, i.e. permitting non-standard base-pairing at the 3rd anti-codon position. The record is from Rfam by way of RNAcentral. Lineage: Eukaryota; Metazoa; Chordata; Aves; Trogoniformes; Trogonidae.